RNAcentral lists this unclassified non-coding RNA (422 nucleotides) under Egletes liebmannii. Its description in RNAcentral is "partial external transcribed spacer". The record is from RNAcentral. Lineage: Eukaryota; Viridiplantae; Streptophyta; Magnoliopsida; Asterales; Asteraceae.
GUGCAUGAGUGGUGUUUGGUUUGAUACGGGUGGUCGGCUCCCUGCUUGAGCAGGCACGGCCAUGCAUACAUUCCUUUUCAUUUGGCGGCAAGGCUUGUAUAGUCUUGAUCAUAUAAGUGGGUUUCCUGUGUUGCAUACCUGAUCAACGGCAUCGUUUUGAUAAAAAUGUCCCUUUUUCGUUUGGCGAUUCAACUGCUUUGUCAAAUGAACCGUGUAGCAUCCUCUUGGAUCCAAAGUGUCGAUGUGCAUUCAUUGAUUCCUUGGCUUGUUGAGGGUCGCGUGGUCUCUUGGAUAUGGAAGCUAAAGUGGCAUGGGUUUGCAUGAUCCUAUUGUUGCCAUUGUUGAGUGUUAUCACUUCUCUUAAACGACUGGCUUUCACGUAUGGCACGUCCCGGCGUGUUUGGCUAUGUCAAAGAGGAAUG